UACGGAGGGUGCGAGCGUUGUCCGGAAUCACUGGGCGUAAAGGGCGCGUAGGUGGCCUGUGGAAGUCUGCGGUGAAAGCCCGGCGCUCAACGCCGGGUCGGCCGUGGAUACUCUCGGGCUCGAGCUUACUAGAGGCAGAUGGAAUUCCGGGUGUAGCGGUGGAAUGCGUAGAGAUCCGGAAGAACACCGGUGGCGAAGGCGGCCUGCUGGGUUCUGGCUGACACUGAGGCGCGACAGCGUGGGGAGCAAACAGG
RNAcentral lists this ribosomal RNA (254 nucleotides) under uncultured bacterium. RNAcentral describes it as "partial 16S ribosomal RNA". It matches the Rfam family "Bacterial small subunit ribosomal RNA", at positions 524 to 776 of the family's 1533-position model. The record is from RNAcentral.